This 239-nucleotide ribosomal RNA is filed under the name uncultured bacterium. Its description in RNAcentral is "partial 16S ribosomal RNA". It matches the Rfam family "Bacterial small subunit ribosomal RNA", at positions 15 to 244 of the family's 1533-position model. The record is from RNAcentral.
GAUCCUGGCUCAGGAUGAACGCUAGCUACAGGCUUAACACAUGCAAGUCGAGGGAAACGACAUCGAAAGCUUGCUUUUGAUGGGCGUCGACCGGCGCACGGGUGAGUAACGCGUAUCCAACCUGCCCAUCACUUGGGGAUAACCUUGCGAAAGUAAGACUAAUACCCAAUGACGUCUCUAGAAGACAUCUGAAAGAGAUUAAAGAUUUAUCGGNGAUGGAUGGGGAUGCGUCUGAUUAG